UACAGAGGUCCCGAGCGUUGUUCGGAUUCAUUGGGCGUAAAGGGUGCGUAGGUGGCGCUGUAAGUCGGGUGUGAAAUUUCGGAGCUUAACUCCGAAACUGCAUUCGAUACUGCGGUGCUUGAGGACUGGAGAGGAGACUGGAAUUCAUGGUGUAGCAGUGAAAUGCGUAGAGAUCAUGAGGAAGACCAGUGGCGAAGGCGGGUCUCUGGACAGUUCCUGACACUGAGGCACGAAGGCCAGGGGAGCGAACGGG
RNAcentral lists this ribosomal RNA (253 nucleotides) under uncultured bacterium. RNAcentral's name for it is "partial 16S ribosomal RNA". It matches the Rfam family "Bacterial small subunit ribosomal RNA", at positions 524 to 776 of the family's 1533-position model. The record is from RNAcentral.